Molecule: ribosomal RNA, 459 nt
Filed under: uncultured bacterium
Lineage: Bacteria
Description: partial 16S ribosomal RNA
Rfam family: Bacterial small subunit ribosomal RNA
Source: RNAcentral
CUACGGGUCGCACCAGUGAGGAAUAUUGGUCAAUGGACGAAAGUCUGAACCAGCCAUGCCGCGUGCAGGAUGAAUGCCCUAUGGGUUGUAAACUGCUUUUAUAUAGGAAUAAACCCCCGCUCGUGAGCGGGGCUGAAGGUACUAUAAGAAUAAGGACCGGCUAACUCCGUGCCAGCAGCCGCGGUAAUACGGAGGGUCCAAGCGUUAUCCGGAUUCAUUGGGUUUAAAGGGUCCGCAGGCGGGAAAUUAAGUCAGUGGUGAAAGCCUACAGCUUAACUGUAGAACUGCCAUUGAUACUGAUUUUCUUGAGUAUAGAUGAAGUGGGCGGAAUGUGUCAUGUAGCGGUGAAAUGCAUAGAUAUGACACAGAACACCGAUUGCGAAGGCAGCUCACUAAACUAUUACUGACGCUCAUGGACGAAAGCGUGGGGAGCGAACAGGAUUAGAUACCCCCGUAGUC